UUGAUUGUUGUGCAAGACUUGAAAAGUACCUUGAGUUUGUUUAUCUCCUAUAUUGAAAACAGAUUGACCCGUCUUCAAUUUGAUCGAUUAUUAACGUUUACAAAUACCUUAGGUUGUAUUACAAAAGUACUUUGAAAUGUUUUGGCAAAGUUUAGAGGUAAUUUUUUUGAUAUUUUGUCAUGACUUUCUGCAAAUUGAACGCUGUUUUUUUCUGGUACAACGGCGCAAAAUAAAUGGACAAUUUGGAUAUAUAUGGACGGAAUUAAUCGAACAAAAGGACCAUUUGUGAUGUUUAUGGGACAUAUUGGAGUGCCAACAAAAGAAUCUCGUCAAAGAGUUCCCAGUUAUCUUGAAAGCACCAUAAAUCCAGAGAAUGCCAGCAUUUGAUGACCAAGUUUGAUGACAAAAUUUGCCCACGAAGAACCGCCGCACCACCUUCCUGUUUAAGUGAGCACAGUACAACAAGAAUACAUCUGGAAGAAGUGUUUCACUUUGGCUGCCCCCUGAAAUGUCAAUGGUCAGAAGAAGUGUUAUUCUCAAUCAAACAAAUAGAUAUCAUACACUGAGUGCACAAAACAUUAUGAACACCUUUCCAUGACAUAGACUAACCAGGGGGAAUCUUGGUGAAAGCUAUGAUCCCUUAUUGAUGUCACUUGUUAAAUGCACUUCAAUCAGUGUAAUUAAAGGGGAGGACACAGGUUAAAGAACAACCUUUAAUCCUUAAGACAAUUGAGACAUGGAUUGUGUAUGUGUCCCAUUCAUAGGGUGAAUGGGCAAGACAAAAUAUUGAAAUGCCUUUGAACAGAGUAUGGUAGUAGGUGCCAUGUGCACCAGUUUGUGUCAAGAACUGCAACACUGCUGGGUUUUUCACACUCAACAGUUUCCCGUGUGUAUCAAGAACGGUCCACCACCCAAAGGACAUCCAGCCAACUUAACACAACUGUGGGAACCAUUGCAGUCAACAUGGGCCAGCAUCCCUGUGGAACGCUUUUGACACCUUGUAGAGUGAAUGCAACUCAAUAUAAGGAAGGUGUUCUUAAUGUUUUGUACACUCAGUGUGAACAUGACUUUGUGUGAAACAUAACACUCUAUCAUUGAGAUUUUUCCUCGUUUUUACACGGUAGGCAUCUAAU
Long non-coding RNA from Salvelinus fontinalis (brook trout), 1133 nucleotides. RefSeq lists it as uncharacterized. The record is from RefSeq and is a predicted model, not a curated record. The transcript has 3 exons. Lineage: Eukaryota; Metazoa; Chordata; Actinopteri; Salmoniformes; Salmonidae.